UGUGAAGCAGCUAGAGGGGAAGAUUAACAAUUAGAUCUUGGGAGUUAAAGGGUUAAAAUUUAUGAUCAGUCAUUACUAACAAAUUUUUCAACUUUUGAAUUCUUUGUUUGUGUGAGAAAGCACAUUACCUGCCCAUUGCUUAUUUGGUAUGAGCAUCUGAGAGAAAAGAGUAUAGGAAUGUAGAUACUCCAUAAAAUGUGUUUAAAUGCCUCUGUUUAAGCCAGGUUAGCAUACAAAAUUUAAGGGUAAAUGCUGAUAUCAGCAGAUCGUACUGCAAUUAGAGCACAGUCUUUUACAAGUAAUGUUGAUGUUUUUGGAGAGUUAUGAUGAGAAACUUUCAGUUAUCCCUGUCAUAUCAAUGAUGCUGAUAAGUCACGUCAGUCUGAUUCUCUCCCUGGACCAUCCCUUUGAACUUGUUUCUUCAUUCUACACUGUGUGACAAGCUGAAAUGUCUCUUUCAGAUGCUAAGGAGAUAGAAGUGGCCAGGCAGAUCAAGCAGCUGGUAGGUUCACUUGUUGCCAUUUGGCCACAGUGUUGUGCUUUGUAUGAGAAACCUCUUUUUGAAAGGCAAACCUUGCUUGUCAAUGAAGAUCAACAGUGUCAAAAAACAGGAACUGAGAUCUCAACGGAAGAUAGAUGUUCUCCAUACAUGUAGCUGAAAAGAACAGGUGAGUUCAUUUUGUAAGGUAACAUUUCUUGGGGGAAUUUGUUUUUUAAGUUGUGUACAUAGAUAACUUUUUUUCUACAAAUUGUGUUCCAUUUGGGUGGACUAAUUGUGUUUUUAACUUAAGUAGCCAGCUUUGAAUUAACUGAUUCAUCCUUCCUUUCCCCCACCUGCUGGGAAUUCUGAUUGUGUAAAGACUUUGUUUGCAAUUUCAUUGGAACACAGUGUUUUUCCCCUUAUGCACACUGUUAUAUUUUAAGGCUGUUUACAAAGUUGCCUUUAUUUUUUAGAAACUUGACAGACUUUUGUAGGGCCCAUUUCUU
Pocillopora damicornis (cauliflower coral) is the source of this 987-nucleotide long non-coding RNA. NCBI's taxonomy places the organism in Eukaryota, Metazoa, Cnidaria, Anthozoa, Scleractinia, Pocilloporidae. The record is from RefSeq and is a predicted model, not a curated record.